GACGAACGCUGGCGGCGUGCUUAACACAUGCAAGUCGAACGGGUCUGCCCUGUUUUUUGCGGGUUGGGUCAGUGGCGAACGGGUGAGUAACACGUGAGUAACCUGCCCCUCACUUCUGGAUAACCGCUUGAAAGGGUGGCUAAUACGGGGUGUUCUGGCUGUGCCGCAUGGUGUGGCUGGGAAAGAUUCACUUUUGUGGUGUUUUGGUGGGGGAUGGGCUCGCGGCCUAUCAGCUUGUUGGUGAGGUGAUGGCCUGCCAAGGCUUUGACGGGUAGCCGGCCUGGGAGGGUGGGCGGCCACACUGGGACGGAGAGACGGCCCAGACUCCUGGGGGAGGCAGCAGUGGGGGGUAGUGCACAAUGGGCGGAAGCAUGAUGCAGCGACGUCGCGUGAGGGAUGGAGGCCGUCGGGUUGUGAACCUCUUUCGCGGGUGAAGAAGGUCCUGCUCUUUGUGGUGGGGUUGACGGUAGCCGGGUUAUGAAGCGCCGGCUAACUACGUG
Molecule: ribosomal RNA, 500 nt
Filed under: uncultured bacterium
Lineage: Bacteria
Description: partial 16S ribosomal RNA
Rfam family: Bacterial small subunit ribosomal RNA
Source: RNAcentral